CCGUUCCGGCCUGAGCAGUUCAAACGGAGGUUAGAGUUACUUGUUAUUGGUAAAUAGCCACGAUGCAGGCUAAGGACCAGAAGAAACACAGAAAGAAAAACAGUGGGCCCAAAGCUGAAAAGAAAAAGAAGUGGCAUCUGCGGGAUCUCCAGCUAGGAGACCAAGAAGAUGCCCGGAAGAGAAAUCCCAAAGCUUUUGCGGUUCAGUCUACUGUGCAGAUGGCUUGGUCCUUUCACUGGAUUCAGGCUUUGAAGACAAAGAAGCAUCAUAUUCCAGUGGUUGAUCGAACUCCACUAGAGCCCCCAGUAGUGGUGAUGGUGAUGGGGCCUCCAAAAGUUGGAAAGAGCACUUGGAUACAGUGCCUCAUCGCAAGUCCACCCAGCAGAAGUUGACCGAGAUCUGAGGCCCUGUGACGGUCGUGUCAGGCAGGAAUAAAGGAAAUAAAAAACCACAGUGAUGGCUCAAGAGACCAAUG
This is a non-coding RNA of Saimiri boliviensis boliviensis (Bolivian squirrel monkey), 475 nucleotides long. The record is from RefSeq and is a predicted model, not a curated record. NCBI's taxonomy places the organism in Eukaryota, Metazoa, Chordata, Mammalia, Primates, Cebidae.